Molecule: ribosomal RNA, 914 nt
Filed under: uncultured archaeon
Lineage: Archaea
Description: bacterial SSU rRNA
Rfam family: Archaeal small subunit ribosomal RNA
Source: RNAcentral
CCGGUUGAUCCUGCCAGAGGUUACUGCUAUCGAGGUUCGACUAAGCCAUGCGAGUCGAAUGUAGCAAUACAUGGCGAACUGCUCAGUAACACGUGGACAACCUGCCCUUAGGUUGGGUAUAAACCCGGGAAACUGGGUAUAAUUCCAGAUAGGUCACAGAUGCUGGAAUGCACUGUGGCCGAAAGCUCCGGCGCCCAAGGAUGGGUCUGCGGCCUAUCAGGGUUGUAGUGGGUGUAACGGACCUACUAGCCUACGACGGGUACGGGUUGUGAGAGCAAGAGCCCGGAGAUGGAUUCUGAGACACGAAUCCAGGCCCUACGGGGUGCAGCAGGCGCGAAAACUUUACAAUGCGGGAAACCGUGAUAAGGGAAUCUCGAGUGCCAGCAUAUAAUGUUGGCUGUCCAGAUGCCUAAAAAGCAUCUGUUAGCAAGGGCCGGGCAAGACCGGUGCCAGCCGCCGCGGCAACACCGGCGGCCCGAGUGGUAACCGCUUUUAUUGGGUCUAAAGGGUCUGUAGCCGGCCAAGUAAGUCCCUUGGGAAAUCUGGCAGCUUAACUGUCAGGCUGCUAGGGGAUACUGCUAGGCUUGGGACCGGGAGAGGUGAGAGGUACCUUGGGGGUAGGGGUGAAAUCUUGUGAUCCUCGGGGGACCACCAGUGGCGAAGGCGUCUCACCGGAACGGGUCCGACGGUAAGGGACGAAAGCUAGGGGCACGAACCGGAUUAGAUACCCGGGUAGUCCUAGCCGUAAACGAUGCUCGCUAGGUGUCAGUCACGGUGCGACCGUGAUUGGUGCCGUAGGGAAGCCGUGAAGCGAGCCACCUGGGAAGUAUGGCCGCAAGGCUGAAACUUAAAGGAAUUGGCGGGGGAGCACUACAACGGGUGGAGCCCGCGGUUUAAUUGGAUUCAACGCCGGG